Molecule: ribosomal RNA, 771 nt
Filed under: uncultured Neocallimastigales
Lineage: Eukaryota; Fungi; Neocallimastigomycota; Neocallimastigomycetes; Neocallimastigales
Description: partial large subunit ribosomal RNA
Rfam family: Eukaryotic large subunit ribosomal RNA
Source: RNAcentral
UAUCUCUGUAGAGUCUGCAUAUCAAUAAGCGGAGGAAAAGAAACUAACAAGGAUUCCCCUAGUAACGGCGAGUGAAGCGGGAAGAGCUCAAAUUUGAAAUCUUCAAGGUUUGACCUUGACGAAUUGUAGUUUAAAGAAGUGUUUUCGGUUAGAGGAGUAGUAAAAGUUCUUUGGAAUAGGACAUCAUAGAGGGUGAGAAUCCCGUAUUUGACUAUUCUUUCUAGCUUUGUGAUACACUUUCAAAGAGUCGGAUUGUUUGGGAAUGCAGUCCAAAAUGGGUGGUAAAUUUCAUCUAAAGCUAAAUAUUGGCGAGAGACCGAUAGCGAACAAGUACCGUGAGGGAAAGAUGAAAAGAACUUUGAAAAGAGAGUUAAACAGUACGUGAAAUUGUCAAAAGGGAAGCGUUUGACACCAGUGUUGUUUUUCCGAAAAUCAAUUAAAAUUGAUUCAUGCCAGGUUGUAUUGACCUUAUCAGCUUGCAAUUUGGUUUUGGGUCUCUUUUUGAUGCACUUUUCGGUUAACAAGUCAACAUCAAUUUCCUUUGCUGUAAAAAGGUAAGAGGAAGGUGGCUUCAAUUUCGGUUGAAGUGUUUAUAGCCUUUUAUCUCUGCAGUCGGGAGAUUGAGGUCUGCAGCGUAGAUCCUUCGGGGCUAGAUACAUUUAUGCUAAGUUAUAGCUUUUCAUAGACAACUUGUUGACUAUGUUUAGUCAUGUAGCUUACUCGUAAGUGCUAUUUUACCUACGCUUAGGAUGUUGAAGACUCUACAGAGAU